RNAcentral lists this ribosomal RNA (347 nucleotides) under uncultured Desulfocapsa sp. RNAcentral's name for it is "bacterial SSU rRNA". It matches the Rfam family "Bacterial small subunit ribosomal RNA", at positions 1033 to 1382 of the family's 1533-position model. Lineage: Bacteria; Pseudomonadati; Thermodesulfobacteriota; Desulfobulbia; Desulfobulbales; Desulfocapsaceae. The record is from RNAcentral.
GACAGGUGCUGCAUGGCUGUCGUCAGCUCGUGUCGUGAGAUGUUGGUUAAGUCCCGCAACGAGCGCAACCCCUAUCUUUAGUUGCCAUCAUUGAGUUGGGCACUCUAAAGAGACUGCCGGUGUCAAACCGGAGGAAGGUGGGGAUGACGUCAAGUCCUCAUGGCCUUUAUGACCAGGGCUACACACGUACUACAAUGGCCGGUACAAAGGGCAGCGACACAGCGAUGUGAAGCCAAUCCCGAAAAGCCGGUCUCAGUCCGGAUUGGAGUCUGCAACUCGACUCCAUGAAGUUGGAAUCGCUAGUAAUCGCGGAUCAGCACGCCGCGGUGAAUACGUUCCCGGGCCUU